RNAcentral lists this ribosomal RNA (301 nucleotides) under uncultured bacterium. RNAcentral describes it as "partial 16S ribosomal RNA". It matches the Rfam family "Bacterial small subunit ribosomal RNA", at positions 509 to 807 of the family's 1533-position model. The record is from RNAcentral.
CAGUCGCCGCGGGAAUACGAAGGGUGCAAGCGUUACUCGGAAUUACUGGGCGUAAAGCGUGCGUAGGUGGUGGUUUAAGUCCGUUGUGAAAGCCCUGGGCUCAACCUGGGAAUUGCAGUGGAUACUGGGUCACUAGAGUGUGGUAGAGGAUAGUGGAAUUUCCGGUGUAGCAGUGAAAUGCGUAGAGAUCUGGAGGAAUACCGAUGGCGAAGGCAGCCAUCUGGCCUAAUACUGACGCUGAGGUACGAAAGCAUGGGGAGCAAACAGGAUUAGAUACCCCGGUAGUCCCUGUCUCUUAUAC